This 580-nucleotide ribosomal RNA is filed under the name uncultured bacterium. RNAcentral's name for it is "partial 16S ribosomal RNA". It matches the Rfam family "Bacterial small subunit ribosomal RNA", at positions 355 to 932 of the family's 1533-position model. The record is from RNAcentral.
UGGGGAAUUUUGGACAAUGGGCGAAAGCCUGAUCCAGCAAUGCCGCGUGUGUGAAGAAGGCCUUCGGGUUGUAAACACUUUUGUCCGGAAAGAAAUCCUUGGCUCUAAUACAGUCGGGGGAUGACGGUACCGGAAGAAUAAGCACCGGCUAACUACGUGCCAGCAGCCGCGGUAAUACGUAGGGUGCAAGCGUUAAUCGGAAUUACUGGGCGUAAAGCGUGCGCAGGCGGUUUGCUAAGACCGAUGUGAAAUCCCCGGGCUCAACCUGGGAACUGCAUUGGUGACUGGCAGGCUAGAGUAUGGCAGAGGGGGGUAGAAUUCCACGUGUAGCAGUGAAAUGCGUAGAGAUGUGGAGGAAUACCGAUGGCGAAGGCAGCCCCCUGGGCCAAUACUGACGCUCAUGCACGAAAGCGUGGGGGAGCAAAACAGGAUUAGAUACCCUGGUAGUCCACGCCCUAAACGAUGUCAACUAGUUGUUGGGGAUUCAUUUCCUUAGUAACGUAGCUAACGCGUGAAGUUGACCGCCUGGGGAGUACGGUCGCAAGAUUAAAACUUAAAUGAAUUGACGGGGUCAUAGCUG